UUGCUUUCUUUUGUCUGGCGACCGGCGCACGGGUGAGUAACACGUAUCCAACCUGCCCUUUACUCGGGGAUAGCCUUUCGAAAGAAAGAUUAAUACCCGAUAGCAUAAUGAUUCCGCAUGGUUUCAUUAUUAAAGGAUUCCGGUAAAGGAUGGGGAUGCGUUCCAUUAGGUUGUUGGUGGGGUAACGGCCCACCAAGCCUUCGAUGGAUAGGGGUUCUGAGAGGAAGGUCCCCCACAUUGGAACUGAGACACGGUCCAA
RNAcentral lists this ribosomal RNA (259 nucleotides) under uncultured bacterium. RNAcentral describes it as "partial 16S ribosomal RNA". It matches the Rfam family "Bacterial small subunit ribosomal RNA", at positions 74 to 334 of the family's 1533-position model. The record is from RNAcentral.